GAUGAAGAACGCAGCGAAAUGCGAUACGUAAUGUGAAUUGCAAAUUCAGUGAAUCAUCGAGUCUUUGAACGCACAUUGCGCCCCCUGGUAUUCCGGGGGGCAUGCCUGUCCGAGCGUCAUUGCUGCCCUCAAGCACGGCUUGUGUGUUGGGCCCCGUCCUCCGAUCCCGGGGGACGGGCCCGAAAGGCAGCGGCGGCACCGCGUCCGGUCCUCGAGCGUAUGGGGCUUUGUCACCCGCUCUGUAGGCCCGGCCGGCGCCUGCCGAUCAACCCAAAUUUUUUAUCCAGGUUGACCUCGGAUCAGGUAGGGAUACCCGCUGAACUUAAGCAUAUCAAUAAGCGGAGGA
This 346-nucleotide unclassified non-coding RNA is filed under the name soil metagenome. RNAcentral describes it as "partial contains 5.8S ribosomal RNA, internal transcribed spacer 2, and large subunit ribosomal RNA". The stretch from base 1 to 119 matches the Rfam family "5.8S ribosomal RNA", at positions 35 to 154 of the family's 154-position model. The record is from RNAcentral.